RNAcentral lists this long non-coding RNA (442 nucleotides) under Olea europaea subsp. europaea. Lineage: Eukaryota; Viridiplantae; Streptophyta; Magnoliopsida; Lamiales; Oleaceae. The record is from RNAcentral.
GCUGCAUUAUUGCGGUGAUCUAGUGGCACCCACUCCCAAGACCUCCAAUUUGCUAUUUGUUCUUUGUGGAUUUGAAGUGAUGGCAGCGACGAGUUUGGGGUUUUUUUUAUUGGAUGGUGAUUGUGGUGUGGUGGAUGUAGAGAUGUAUAUUUUUUGUUCUUUCUGGUGAUUGUUUUGAUUGUUGAGUUGUUAUUGGCGGUAGUGGUAGUGCAGUAGUGGUGGUGGAUAGUGUUAGAGUUGGUUGUUGGUGGUUGGAGAUCUGAUAAAGGUGAUUGUCGUGAUUUUUGUUGGUAGAUUGGAUCUGGUGGUGGCGAUGGCAGUGACGGGGUGAGUAUUGUCACAAGUGGCUGUGGUGACAGUAGUUGUGGUGAUAGUGUUGGUGGUGAUGGUCUGUGACCCACUAUUUGGUAUAUGUGACCAGCUAUUUAGUAUACUUGUGAAC